RNAcentral lists this ribosomal RNA (253 nucleotides) under uncultured bacterium. Its description in RNAcentral is "partial 16S ribosomal RNA". It matches the Rfam family "Bacterial small subunit ribosomal RNA", at positions 524 to 776 of the family's 1533-position model. The record is from RNAcentral.
UACGUAGGGUGCAAGCGUUGUCCGGAAUUACUGGGCGUAAAGGGCGCGUAGGCGGCCUUCUAAGUCGAACGUGAAAUCCCCGGGCUCAACCCGGGAACUGCGUCCGAUACUGGAAGGCUUGAAUCCGGGAGAGGGAUGUGGAAUUCCAGGUGUAGCGGUGAAAUGCGUAGAUAUCUGGAGGAACACCGGUGGCGAAGGCGACAUCCUGGACCGGUAUUGACGCUGAGGCGCGAAAGCCAGGGGAGCAAACGGG